AAUGCGACGCAUUACUUUCCGGACAAACCCUGGAUCACUGGCUCUUAUGUGGUUGGCUGUGAUCAAUAUUAACGUGGUUAAUCGGACCUUCCCAUUUUCUAGCAUGGUGUUUACCAUUAUGGUAUUCAUCAGCGUGGUGAAUUUCAACGAUGUCGCGGACUUGAACCGCUGGUCUCUUAAAGGUGAGAAAAGUGAACAUGCGACAGAAAUGACAUCCACGAACUCAAACGUGAUGUUAAACGGUUCUGGUCAUAUUCAAAGCUUCGAAGUAGAGAAACAGGUUCAUCUUCUUUGAGGAUAGAAAUUGUUGAUGGCCACAAUAACGGACACAAUAAUGGACAUAUACAUCAUCAGGGGUAAACCCAAUUCUAUAUGGCUGUAUUGCAAUCUUCCUGUUGCAAUACAUUUAAUUUAAUUCGUUGCAUAAUUUCUUGAGACGAUGGAGCAUCAAAAGAAGACUCGAAAGGGUUACUCGAAUAAAUGCAAAGCUCGAUUUAGUAAAGCGAAUAAGGAAGAAGGAAGAAUUCUUGUAAUUUUUUUUCUUGCGGGUAUUCGUUCUUGGUCGCAAUCUAAGCAAGUUCAAACUUGCACAUGGUGAUGCCCGUAUGGUUGUUAAACAAAUUAGUUGCAUAAUUUCUUGGAACGGUGCCAGAUGUGUCUCGGUGUCUCUAUCUUCUUGUUUUUCUUAAU
This is a non-coding RNA of Nylanderia fulva, 690 nucleotides long. Lineage: Eukaryota; Metazoa; Arthropoda; Insecta; Hymenoptera; Formicidae. The record is from RefSeq and is a predicted model, not a curated record.